This 1272-nucleotide ribosomal RNA is filed under the name Triticum aestivum (bread wheat). Its description in RNAcentral is "partial small subunit ribosomal RNA". The record is from RNAcentral. Lineage: Eukaryota; Viridiplantae; Streptophyta; Magnoliopsida; Poales; Poaceae.
AUGGCGCGGAAGAAGAUCCGGGAGUACGACUCCAAGCGCCUCCUCAAGGAGCACCUGAAGCGCCUCGCAGGCAUCGACCUCCAGAUCCUCUCCGCGCAGGUCACACAAUCAACGGAUUUCACGGAGCUUUCAAACCAGGAGCCAUGGCUCUCGUCGAUGAAGUUGGUUGUUAAACCUGACAUGCUGUUUGGCAAGCGUGGGAAGAGUGGCCUUGUAGCCCUCAACCUAGAUCUUGCUCAAGUCCGCCAAUUUGUCAAGGAGCGAUUAGGAGUUGAGGUCGAGAUGGGUGGAUGUAAGGCUCCAAUUACAACAUUCAUAGUCGAGCCAUUUGUGCCACACGAUCAAGAGUAUUAUCUCUCAAUUAUGUCAGACAGGCUUGGUUGCACCAUUAGUUUCUCAGAGUGUGGUGGUAUUGAGAUUGAGGAGAACUGGGACAAGGUUAAGACAAUCUUUCUUCCAACAGAGAAGCCAAUGACACUUGAUGCAUGCGCUCCAUUGAUUGCCACUCUUCCCUUGGAAGUCCGCACGAAAAUAGGCGAUUUCAUUAGAGGGUCAUUUUCUGUUUUCCAAGACUUGGAUUUCUCAUUUAUGGAGAUGAACCCAUUCACCCUGGUAAAUGGUGAACCAUACCCUCUCGACAUGAGAGGUGAACUGGAUGACACAGCUGCUUUCAAGAACUUUAAGAAGUGGGGUGACAUUGAAUUCCCUCUACCUUUCGGAAGAGUCCUGAGCCCAUCAGAAAGUUAUAUCCAUGAACUGGAUGAGAAGACAAGCGCAUCACUGAAAUUCACAGUUCUUAACCCGAAAGGUCGCAUUUGGACAAUGGUUGCAGGUGGUGGUGCUAGUGUCAUAUAUGCCGACACGGUUGGAGAUUUGGGAUAUGCUUCAGAGCUAGGGAAUUAUGCAGAGUACAGUGGAGCUCCCAAAGAGGAGGAAGUUUUGCAUUAUGCUAGAGUGGUUUUGGAUUGUGCCACUGCUGAUCCUGAUGGCCGGAAGAGAGCUCUUCUCAUUGGAGGGGGUAUCGCAAACUUCACUGAUGUCGCUGCUACAUUCAGUGGCAUCAUUCGGGCUUUAAGAGAGAAGGAAUCCAAAUUAAAAGCUGCAAGGGUGAACAUUUAUGUUCGCAGAGGUGGUCCAAACUACCAAACUGGACUCGCCAAAAUGCGUGCUCUAGGAUCAGAGCUUGGUCUUCCAAUUGAGGUCUAUGGACCAGAGGCCACAAUGACUGGAAUCUGCAAGCAAGCCAUUGAUUGUGUCAUGGCUGAAGCAUGA